This 520-nucleotide ribosomal RNA is filed under the name uncultured bacterium. RNAcentral describes it as "partial 16S ribosomal RNA". It matches the Rfam family "Bacterial small subunit ribosomal RNA", at positions 899 to 1397 of the family's 1533-position model. The record is from RNAcentral.
ACUCAAAGGAAUUGACGGGGGCUCACACAAGCGGUGGAGCAUGUGGCUUAAUUCGAGGCUACGCGAAGAACCUUAUCCUAGACUUGACAUGUGCGAAAGCGUAAGCAGGUAGGACCCGGAAACGGGAACGAACGGUAUCCAAUCCGGAAGCUUAUACAGGUGCUGCAUGGCUGUCGUCAGCUCGUGUCGUGAGAUGUCGGGUUAAGUCCCAUAACGAGCGAAACCCUUACCCUUAGUUGCCAGCGGGUCAUGCCGGGGACUCUAGGGGGACUGCCGGUGUUAAACCGGAGGAAGGCGGGGAUGACGUCAAGUCCUCAUGGCCUUUACGUCUAGGGCUGCACACGUGCUACAAUGGCGUGAACAAAGGGACGCAACUGCGCGAGCAUGAGCAAAUCCCAAAAAACACGCCCCAGUUCAGAUCGAAGGCUGCAACUCGCCUUCGUGAAGUUGGAAUCGCUAGUAAUCGCGGGUCAGCAACACCGCGGUGAAUGUGUUCCUGAGCCUUGCACACACCGCCCGU